AUCUUGUGUGAAAUGGCGUCGUAGAAUCGGAUUUCCUGUUCACCUCGCUUCGACAUUCUUGAAAAGUAUCGUAGAAGGACGAUCGAUCCGUUUUUGAUCGCACGAGAACUGAUUAACGUUUGGGAAUCGAUAGAACGUCGAGAUUUCUACGAAAAGAAGUAAGAAGUAAAAGAAGUCGAUGAAUCUUUUCUGGAUUUAUCGUUCGUCGCAUAGUCUUCGAAUCGUAAUAUAUUUCAAAAAACGUGCACAAAUUCAUUUGAUUUUUGAUAUACCUUAUGAAGAUGUUUAAAAUUUUAGUUAUAUAUCACGUACAACUAUCAUUUCAUUUGGAUUUUAAAUACAUUCAAUUCGUGGCAGCAUUAUGAUAUAAAAUGUAUUUACUUGCUAAAAUAAAUAACCGUUGAAAAAUCCAUAUAUUCAUAAUGACAAAAUAUUAUCCGCAAAAAACAAUCCAAGAUCUUCGUAAGACUUGUCAAGGUGAAAUAUAAUCACAAUAAUCCAAUUUGAUUAUAAACUUUUACUCGAAAAACUAAUUUUUCAUCUAUCUACAUACACUUUUUGAGAUAAAGUUUCCACAGAUGAAUCCAGACACUCUGUAUAUCGUUGUCCAUUUGCAUGAAAGAUCAGCUGGAAUGCAAAGGUUAUUCCGUCUCUUAAAGAUUUUAGACCGCAUCCGCUAAGAAUCGGGAUUUAAAGGGGGAAAAAAAAAAACCGAUAAAUCAUCAACGAA
Molecule: long non-coding RNA, 730 nt
Organism: Apis florea (little honeybee)
Lineage: Eukaryota; Metazoa; Arthropoda; Insecta; Hymenoptera; Apidae
Source: RefSeq, a predicted model, not a curated record